RNAcentral lists this ribosomal RNA (465 nucleotides) under uncultured bacterium. RNAcentral describes it as "partial 16S ribosomal RNA". It matches the Rfam family "Bacterial small subunit ribosomal RNA", at positions 28 to 507 of the family's 1533-position model. The record is from RNAcentral.
GACGAACGCUGGCGGCGUGCUUAACACAUGCAAGUCGUACGGUAAGGCCCUUUCGGGGGUACACGAGUGGCGAACGGGUGAGUAACACGUGAGUAACCUGCCCACAACUUUGGGAUAACGCUAGGAAACUGGUGCUAAUACUGGAUAUGUGCUCCUGCUGCAUGGUGGGGGUUGGAAAGCUCCGGCGGUUGUGGAUGGACUCGCGGCCUAUCAGCUUGUUGGUGGGGUAGUGGCCUACCAAGGCGGCGACGGGUAGCCGGCCGGAGAGGGUGACCGGCCACCUUGGGUCUGAGAUACGGCGCAGACUGCUGCGGGAGGCGGCAGGGGGGAUUGUUGUACAAUGGGCGCGGGCCUGGUGCGGCGGGGCCGCGGGCGGGAGGCCUGUCUUCGGGUUGUAGGCCGCUGUCGGCAGGGGCGGAGCUUUUUGUGACGGUACCAGCAGAAGAAGCAUCGGCUAACUACGUU